AGUGAACGCUGGCGGCGUGCCUAAUACAUGCAAGUCGAACGGACGAGUAAGAGCUUGCUCUUAUGAGUUAGUGGCGCACGGGUGAGUAAUGUAUAGCUAAUCUGCCCUACACUAGAGGACAACAGUUGGAAACGACUGCUAAUACUCUAUACUCCUGUCUGACAUAAGUUAGAUAGGGAAAGUUUUUCGGUGUAGGAUGAGGCUAUAUUGUAUCAGCUAGUUGGUGAGGUAAUGGCUCACCAAGGCUAUGACGCAUAACUGGUCUGAGAGGAUGAUCAGUCACACUGGGACUGAGACACGGUCCAGGCUCCUACGGGAGGCAGCAGUAGGGAAUAUUGCUCGAUGGGGGAAACCCUGAAGCAGCAACGCCGCGUGGAGGAUGACACUUUUCGGAGCGUAAACUCCUUUUGUUAGGGAAGAACAAGACGGUACCUAACGA
RNAcentral lists this ribosomal RNA (439 nucleotides) under Campylobacter concisus. RNAcentral's name for it is "bacterial SSU rRNA". It matches the Rfam family "Bacterial small subunit ribosomal RNA", at positions 29 to 485 of the family's 1533-position model. The record is from RNAcentral. Lineage: Bacteria; Pseudomonadati; Campylobacterota; Epsilonproteobacteria; Campylobacterales; Campylobacteraceae.